ACGGAAGGCAGCAGUGGGGGAUAUUGCACAAUGGAGGAAACUCUGAUGUAGCAACGCCGCGUGAGGGAAGAAGGUCUUCGGAUUGUAAACCUUUGUUUUUGGUGAAGAUAAUGACGGUAGCCAAAGAGGAAGCCACGGCUAACUACGUGCCAGCAGCCGCGGUAAUACGUAGGUGGCAAGCGUUGUCCGGAAUUACUGGGUGUAAAGGGUGCGCAGGCGGGUCAGCAAGUUGGAUGUGAAAUACCGGGGCUUAACCCCGGAGCUGCAUCCAAAACUGUUGAUCUUGAGUGAAGUAGAGGUUGGCGGAAUUCCGAGUGUAGCGGUGAAAUGCGUAGAUAUUCGGAGGAACACCAGUGGCGAAGGCGGCCAACUGGGCUUUAACUGACGCUGAGGCACGAAAGCAUGGGGAGCAAACAGGAUUAGAUACCCUGGUA
This 434-nucleotide ribosomal RNA is filed under the name uncultured Ethanoligenens sp. Its description in RNAcentral is "partial 16S ribosomal RNA". It matches the Rfam family "Bacterial small subunit ribosomal RNA", at positions 341 to 792 of the family's 1533-position model. Lineage: Bacteria; Bacillati; Bacillota; Clostridia; Eubacteriales; Oscillospiraceae. The record is from RNAcentral.